UUUCUCUGGCGGUUGCUUCGGUCUAAUGGACCGCGGUCGUCCGGCGGCAAGACGCUUUUAAAUACAAGGCUACUCUCAAAAUCGACCGGCCAUGUUGGUUUGGACACACAUUCGCAUCAGUUCGUCGCUCAAUCGCGAGUUACAGCCUGCAGUUUGCUAGCUAGCAAAGUCAUCGACUACCAUCGUUUAAAUACCUUAACCGGUUAUGCUCUGGCCAUCUUCACCCAAGAGACCUACUGUUGGUCAAUUGUUUUGGCUUUAAAGGUAAAUGCAUUGUUAGUCACACUGUCUAGUCACUGGGCCAAAAGGAAAAUAAUAUUGAAAAGAGUUGAGAGGGACAAACAGGACAUUCACUUGAAUCACUACAUGCUACAGAAGUUGCAUCGAUUCCAGAAAACCAGGAAAAUGUUGAGCCAUCUGUAGACUUCAGAGCUGAACCAGGUUUCUCCCCAGUAAUCCAGACUCCACUUCACAGAGCCAAGAGUUUGAGUACAAGGCACUUGACUUUCUGGAUAAAAGGUGUCGAGGUGUGUUGUACAUAUCAUUAGCUUUGCACAGUUCAAUUAUUGUUUCAUUACUGAAUAUGCAAUCUCUGCAGUGAAAUUAAAGCUGUUAUGUUUGUUCCCCCAGCUCGUCAAGUACUAAGCUUUACACCACCAGCAGCAAAUUUACACUGGCAGCAUAUGGGUGAAAACGCUGGAUGCAUGUAAUACGUUGCGCUAAACUAAGUUUUACAUUUAAGUCCAAUUCAUUAAAUGUAUGCAAUUACUUCAAACAUAUUUUUACGUCAAUGAUUAUCAAUAGGAGAAAGUAAUCACUUUGUUAUUGGCCCUUGGACGCCCCUGGCAUCUCGUGUACAGCACAAAGUUUUCAGCUAUGAAGAUUUCCAGAGACUCCAGAAUGAAAACCAAGCCCUGAGGGAAUGCAAUGCACAAGCAGCUUCGGAUGACAGCGGCUCACUUCAAGAGCAAGUGAAGCAAGUAGGGACAAUGUUGAAGACGUUUGCUCUCACUGGGCAAUCAGGUGCGUUACCUAAAAGGAGCAUCGGACCGUGAAGGCAGAAAAAGGCGCCGCACAGCUGAGAAGGACCCACAGCCGACCCCUAAACCUAGGCUACUGACACCCCAGCAUCACUGAACUGGAACACUUUCUUUAUCCUGCAGUCAGUAACAUCAAGAAGCCAGAAGUGCCAGACUACACUCACCAAAUCCACCCUGUUUUUUUUGGUAUUUUAACUUUAGUAUUGGCUUAUUUCAUUCCGUCUUAACGAUUCUAUUAUAGUUUGUAAAUCCUUUUUCAUACCUGUUACUUGAUAUUGCACAUUAACUAGUACCAAAAUUCUACUUUCAUUUCAUCAGUGUGCUUAACUGUUAUUCUAUUAAUAAUAGCUUGGAAAUACUAUUUCAUACCUCUGAUACUUGAUAUUGCACAUUACCUGGUACCAAAUAUUCUACUUACUCUGUUUUUAACAUCAGCAUUUUUCAUUCCGUCACAGUGCUUAACUGUUAUUCUAUUGUUAAAUAUAGCUUGUAAAUCCUUGUGCCACAGGUCAGCAUUGCAUUUAUAAUGGUCUGUUCUACUACUGUUUUUACCUCCGUAUUUUUAUAUAAAUAUAUAUGUCAAGUUUUGUUUAUCACAGAUACAAGAGACAGAUCUUAUUGCAGCACGGUGUAAAUCUUGUGCUACAGGUCAGCAAUGCCAUUAUAAUGGUAUAUUCUACUCUAGAGCUUUACUCUAAAUUAUUACCACUUUUCCUAUUGUUAGAAAUGGCUUGAAAAUGUGAUGUUAUACCUCGAUUUAUUUGGUAUCCUGCAUGUUCUUUGGUACCAAAUAUCCUCAUUACUUGUUAUGUUUACUGGUAAUUAUUUUCAUCCCAGAGCUGACCUUUUUAUAUUAUUAACAAUUAUUGUGUUUGUGUUAUAAUUUGCUCGUAUUGCUGUUUUUUUUUAACCAAAAUUUAAUUGGAAACCUGCAUGUUCUGUAGUGUGUAUUUAUAUGUAUAUUUUUUUCUGCCUGUUAUUUAUUUCAGUGAUCUGACACAUCUUGUUUGAAUGACAGUUACUGUACUUUGAAAUGUGGAAUUAAAACACC
This is a long non-coding RNA of Esox lucius (northern pike), 2091 nucleotides long. The record is from Ensembl. NCBI's taxonomy places the organism in Eukaryota, Metazoa, Chordata, Actinopteri, Esociformes, Esocidae.